RNAcentral lists this unclassified non-coding RNA (240 nucleotides) under soil metagenome. Its description in RNAcentral is "partial contains 5.8S ribosomal RNA, internal transcribed spacer 2, and large subunit ribosomal RNA". The record is from RNAcentral.
AACGCACGAGACCUGCGGACCUGCGGAAGGAUCAUUAAUGAGAAACUGCCCCUCGCGGGUAGAUCUCCCACCCUUUGUAAACUUACCUUUGUUGCUUUGGCAGGCCCGUCUCCGGACCGCCGGCCUCGGCUGGCCAGUGCCUGCCAGAGGAUUCUAAAACUCUGUCUGUCAGUGUUGUCUGAGUCUAUAUACAAUCGUUAAAACUUUCAACAACGGAUCUCUAGAUCGGAAGAGCACACG